This is a long non-coding RNA of Cavia porcellus (domestic guinea pig), 3185 nucleotides long. RefSeq lists it as uncharacterized. The record is from RefSeq and is a predicted model, not a curated record. The transcript has 4 exons. Lineage: Eukaryota; Metazoa; Chordata; Mammalia; Rodentia; Caviidae.
AGUGUAUGUCACAUGCUUGGUGCUGGGACCCAUUCAUGAGAAUGGAAUCUAAUAAAAAUGCAAAGGGAAUCUGGUGAAGUGAUUUCCUUCUUCCCUUAAAUUGUAUCUUGGCUAUAAUAUUUUCUGACACUAGAAAUAAAUUAAUUUCAUGUUUAGAUCCUUCUUUCUACAUCCCCUCCAACUGGAACAAAAGUGGUUUAGAUUAACUAGGUAUGACAGGUUCAGAGACCACAGGGUUUUCCAUUCUGUAACUGCCGAAAGACAAAGGGCACAAAAAAUACAGAUGUUUUCGCCUUGCUGCUACAAAAGCGCAGUGGACUAACUCCCUGCCUGUGGAAUGCAAAUUUUCUUUCACAGUUUAGCAGUCUUUUUUGGAUUUCAGCACAGUGAACUAACACUUUCCUGGAUUCCAAGACCUCCAGAGAACCAGAUGGAUGAGAGAAAUUGGGAAAAAGAACCCACACUGCUUGAAAAAGGUCUAGAAAAAGAAGUUUGGAUCGGGGGAGGAGAAGAGAGACCGGAAAUGUUACCUGGAAUAAUCUGAUGCUUUGGCUAUUUCACCACAGAGGUGCAAAAGACAGUGACUGUGGGAGCAAGAAUCGUAACAUUUUAGACAGGAUCUCAAGAAGCCUAUGAAACUUGGAGAGUUUGUGAUUUUACGCCUCAGAAACAAAAAAUCAGCCAUAUGACCCAGGAAUCGAAUGCCAUCCAUGGGAAGACUUUGAAAUGCCAUCCACUAGGAAUCCAAUGCCAUCCAUGGGAAGACUUUGAAAUUAUGACUCUUUUGGAUGUCACCUCCUGACUUCUGGCACAGAUUGUUGGGCUCCUGCCUUCACCAUAAACUCUUCAGCCUUCGUCUAGACCCUUCAGCUGUCCAUCAUAGAUUCUUUGGUGUUCUAUCGCAAACCCAUUGGUAUCCUCAUUUGGACUUGCAUGGGACACUGCAGUAAACUCCAGUCCUUGGGCUGGACCCUUCAUCCUCUAGCGUGCAGAUGCCCUCUGAAUACUCCCUUAUCCAACCUUGUGGCUAAUGCUUGUAAGCCAAUCUUGUAAUUUCUUCUAUAUUUGUAUACCUUGUGAUAUAUCUGUUUCUCUAGUAAACCCUGAUUGAUACACUAAGAAAAUUUGUUCAUUUUGAAAAAUCAAGGGUUGUGGAAUGCCAGUUUUCAGUAAAGCCUGUGUUUGGCCCUAGGGUUAUAACAAUGCACAAGAUAAAGUUUUCUGCAUUGCAAGAGCUCCCCCCUUAGUGGGGGAAACUGAGGAACUAAAUGCACAAAUUAAAAAUCUUCAGCAAUGUGUUAUAGUUGUUUGGUUAAAGAACUCUUAAAAUCAUAAGCAAAAAGGCACAUAAUUUCCUUGACGAACAAGUCUGAUUGAACUACAUCUGAACCACAGAAAAUCUGUCAAUGAAACUCCAAGGAACUAAGUUCAAGUGCAAGGAACCAAAUUAGCACUGGACCUCAGAUCUGGAUUGGAAAACCAAAACCAAAACCAGAAAAAAAGAAUCCUGAAUCUUGGAUAAAAACCAGGUUUGAUGAAAAGUUGUGGAUAUGAACUGAACCACGUGAAAACACUUCUCUCUGUGUUCCUGCCAGUCGAAAAUGUGUCUAUGUAUUGUCAUACCAACAAGACAAUGGGCUGUACAUAAAGAAAAGUAAAAAUCUAGACCAAGGUUAGGAAGUGUUUGUGUAGAACCAAAUAUAAAAUACGUCAGAGACAGCUGCUUGGCUGUGCCAAAAUUCUAAGUUUCAAAUAGGUGGGGUCCAUGAGGGUUUUGGUUUUAGUGAUAGGACUUUGGUCUUGUUCUCCUACAGGAAAGAAAGGGUAUUUUUUUUUAUAAUGAUGGAAUUCUUGUCAUAUAAACAGAAUAUGCCUGAAAAUAUAAGUUUAAAACAUUUCUUCUGAAUGAGGAGAAUCACGACAUGCAAAUAGCCUGUGCUACAAGAAUUAACAGAGCUUGUUGGACGUCUUUAAUAAACACAGUAAAAUCUUCAUAAUUUUGUGGAAGGGCACUCUUGGGGAUUGACUGAAUUCUUGGUGGUUCGUGGUUAUAGAAAGGACUCUAAAGAAGAGCAAAUUUGGCUGGACUGAGAGUGCAAAGUGGCUGGAUUAGUAAGUGAAGACAUUUUGCUUAGUGAAAUCUUUCAUCAGAUAAACUGCCAAGUCUCCAGCAGCCUUCAAGAACAGAGAAACAUGUUUAAACCAGUUUUGCCUGCAGACAGAGGGAUGCUAAUUGCUUUACCCAGAUUCUCUUAAACCUUCUUGCAUGCAGAAGCAUAAAAAUAGCCAAAAUGUGUACACUGCCUCUAGGAUCCAACCCUCCACCUGCAGAAAGCAAUUCAUGUUUCAACUCUGUCUCCUGCCACUGGUUUGCUUUGGAGCCUAAUUACCAGCUACAUUUGAUGACAACAUUACUGGCUCCAGGGGCUUCUUGUUCCUACCAAACAAAACCAAAAAACAAACUCCUAAAGCAAGACCUGGAAUCUACCACUGGGAAUACAGAAUCAGUGAUGCAAUUCCAGAUUGGGCCUGGUAUCUUCCUUAUCUUCAUGUUGGCAGCUUCCCUGGAGAGCCUGUCUCCCUCAGUGUGGACCAGCUUUGACAAAUAUUUACUGACAAAUGACUAUUAUUUUCAUAAUCGUCAUCAUUUGCAACCAUUUGUUGAUUUACAGCCAACAAACAUGUUCACUGGCACUAUCUCACUUGAUGGCUAUAACUCUGAGUCAAGUACACAGAGCAGGGCUCAUUAAUUUAUUUAAAUGGGUAAACGUCUACAUUGCCGGCAAGUGGUAAAACCAAGAGUAAGGGCAAGAAUCAGCACGUGUAUUUCUCUCUAGGUAUCUUUCCUGGUAGAUGCCAAUUUACAACUUAUAGUGAGCCAGUAGGGACCGUCCAUAGGUAAAAGAGCAAGGAGCCCCUCACAAGUCUGCUUGCAAUCCAGGAUGUACCCCAGGUGGCCUUGGAAGAGGGCACUGUCCUCGCUCAAGCUACCGUUGACCACUUGCAAACCUGUCUAAUAUGGAAGUGACUAUUGUGUGAAAUGGUAGCUCUCUACCACUUAAGGUGGUUGCACAGAACCUUGAAAACCACCUAAGUUCUUGGGAAACUGCAAAUGACACUCUUUAUUGGGUAGCAGGCUUUUCAAGAUAGUAUUUUUUUUAGAAAAGAAUAAAAGGUAUAAUGUA